AUUGAACGCUGGCGGCAGGCCUAACACAUGCAAGUCGAGCGAGCGGCGGACGGGUGAGUAAUGUAUGGGAAUCUGCCCGAUGGAGGGGGAUAACUACUGGAAACGGUGGCUAAUACCGAAUACUAUCGGAUGAACCCAUAUGGGAUUAGCUGGUAGGUGGGGUAAAGGCUCACCAAGGCGACGAUCCCUAGCUGGUCUGAGAGGAUGAUCAGCCACACUGGGACUGAGACACGGCCCAGACUCCUACGGGAGGCAGCAGUGGGGAAUAUUGCACAAUGGGCGCAAGCCUGAUGCAGCCAUGCCGCGUGUAUGAAGAAGGCCUUCGGGUUGUAAAGUACUUUCAGCGGGGAGGCGUUACCCGCAGAAGAAGCACCGGCUAACUCCGUGCCAGCAGCCGCGGUAAUUC
This 406-nucleotide ribosomal RNA is filed under the name uncultured bacterium. RNAcentral's name for it is "partial 16S ribosomal RNA". It matches the Rfam family "Bacterial small subunit ribosomal RNA", at positions 30 to 526 of the family's 1533-position model. The record is from RNAcentral.